Long non-coding RNA from Pseudophryne corroboree (corroboree frog), 424 nucleotides. RefSeq lists it as uncharacterized. NCBI's taxonomy places the organism in Eukaryota, Metazoa, Chordata, Amphibia, Anura, Myobatrachidae. The record is from RefSeq and is a predicted model, not a curated record. The transcript has 2 exons.
UAUGCACACAUGACACGUUAUCACAGAAAGUGAUGCACAUCAUCACACAGCAGGGAUAAUAAACCAGUGACCCUCAAACCAUGAAGAAUAGGAGAAUCAGGAUCAGUGGCUUUGUCAUCAUGAAGCGAAGAUACAAGAAUGACGUUUUUCUUCUCGCGCAGGACGUAGGAAACCAGAACCUUCCCAUUAUGGAAAAGAAAUUAUUAUUGAAAAGAAAAAGAAAUUAUUGAAAAGAAAUUCCCAUUAUAAAAGAGAAAAUAUGAACAUGAGUGUAAGUUUGGGCGCAGUGUGCCUGAGAGGCCACCCUGGACAAACCUACGUAUUUCCGCAAAAUAUCCACAACCUUUGUAAUUUUCAUUCAUAAAACGAGCAAAAUAAGCAAUUAAUAGAUGAAAAUAAAAGGAAAAAUGAACCUUCAAAAGUC